RNAcentral lists this ribosomal RNA (497 nucleotides) under uncultured bacterium. Its description in RNAcentral is "partial 16S ribosomal RNA". It matches the Rfam family "Bacterial small subunit ribosomal RNA", at positions 28 to 507 of the family's 1533-position model. The record is from RNAcentral.
GAUGAACGCUGGCGGCGUGCCUAAUACAUGCAAGUCGAGCGAACAGACGAGGAGCUUGCUCCUCUGACGUUAGCGGCGGACGGGUGAGUAACACGUGGAUAACCUACCUAUAAGACUGGGAUAACUUCGGGAAACCGGAGCUAAUACCAGAUAAUAUAUUGAACCGCAUGGUUCAAUAGUGAAAGACGGUUUUGCUGUCACUUAUAGAUGGAUCCGCGCCGCAUUAGCUAGUUGGUAAGGUAACGGCUUACCAAGGCAACGAUGCGUAGCCGACCUGAGAGGGUGAUCGGCCACACUGGAACUGAGACACGGUCCAGACUCCUACGGGUGGCAGCAGUAGGGAAUCUUCCGCAAUGGGCGAAAGCCUGACGGAGCAACGCCGCGUGAGUGAUGAAGGUCUUCGGAUCGUAAAACUCUGUUAUUAGGGAAGAACAAAUGUGUAAGUAACUAUGCACGUCUUGACGGUACCUAAUCAGAAAGCCACGGCUAACUACGUG